This 374-nucleotide ribosomal RNA is filed under the name uncultured organism. RNAcentral describes it as "partial 16S ribosomal RNA". It matches the Rfam family "Bacterial small subunit ribosomal RNA", at positions 527 to 896 of the family's 1533-position model. The record is from RNAcentral.
GUAGGUGGCAAGCGUUGUCCGGAAUUAUUGGGCGUAAAGCGCGCGCAGGUGGUUCUUUAAGUCUGAUGUGAAAGCCCCCGGGCUCAACCGGGGGAGGGUCAUUGGAAACUGGGGAACUUGAGUGCAGGAGAGGAAAGUGGAAUUCCACGUGUAGCGGUGAAAUGCGUAGAUAUGUGGAGGAACACCAGUGGCGAAGGCGACUUUCUGGCCUGUAACUGACACUGAGGCGCGAAAGCGUGGGGAGCAAACAGGAUUAGAUACCCUGGUAGUCCACGCCGUAAACGAUGAGUGCUAAGUGUUGGGGGGUUUCCGCCCCUCAGUGCUGCAGCUAACGCAUUAAGCACUCCGCCUGGGGAGUACGGUCGCAAAGACUG